UGACUACAGGGGUAUCUAAUCCCUUUCGCUACCCUAGCUUUCGUCCCUGAGUGUCAGUUUCGGUCCAGUAGCACGCCUUCGCCACCGAUGUUCCUCCCAAUAUCUACGCAUUUCACCGCUACACUGGGAAUACCCGCUACCCCUACCGAACUCUAGUCUCUCAGUUUCCACCGCCUGCCCAGAGUUAAGCUCUGGUCUUUGACAGCAGACUUGAAAGACCACCUGCGGACGCUUUACGCCCAAUAAUUCCGGAUAACGCUUGCAUCCUCCGUAUUACCGCGG
RNAcentral lists this ribosomal RNA (282 nucleotides) under unidentified cyanobacterium CL13.3_1. RNAcentral's name for it is "partial 16S ribosomal RNA". The record is from RNAcentral. Lineage: Bacteria; Bacillati; Cyanobacteriota; Cyanophyceae; Chroococcales.